RNAcentral lists this ribosomal RNA (245 nucleotides) under uncultured bacterium. RNAcentral's name for it is "partial 16S ribosomal RNA". It matches the Rfam family "Bacterial small subunit ribosomal RNA", at positions 1257 to 1500 of the family's 1533-position model. The record is from RNAcentral.
GCGAGGUAGAGCAAAUACUCAAAAAAACAAUCUCAGUUCAGACUGCAGGCUGCAACUCGCCUGCACGAAGUCGGAAUUGCUAGUAAUCGUAGGUCAGCAUACUACGGUGAAUACGUUCCCGGGCCUUGUACACACCGCCCGUCACACCAUGGGAGUCGGAAAUGCCCGAAGUCAGUGACCCAACCGGAAGGAAGGAGCUGCCGAAGGUGGAGCCGGUAACUGGGGUGAAGUCGUAACAAGGUAUC